CCUACGGGGGGCAGCAGUGGGGAAUAUUGGACAAUGGGGGAAACCCUGAUCCAGCGACGCCGCGUGAGUGAAGAAGUAUUUCGGUACUUAAAGCUCUAUCAGCAGGAAAGAAAAUGCCGGUACCUGAAUAAGAACCCCCGGCUAACUACGGGCAAGCAGCCGCGGUAAUACGUAGGGGGCAGGCGUUAUCCGGAUUUACUGGGUGUAAAGGGAGAGUAGACGGCAGCGCAAGUCUGGAGUGAAAUGCCGGGGCCCAACCCCGGAACUGCUCUGGAACCUGUGAAGCUGGAGUUCAGGAGAGGUAAGCGGAAUUCCUGGUGUAGCGGUGAAAUGCGUAGAUAUCAGGAGGAACACCGGCGGCGAAGGCGGCUUACUGGACUGUAACUGACGUUGAGGCUCGAAGGCGUGGGGAGCAAACAGGAUUAGAUACCCCUGUAGUC
Molecule: ribosomal RNA, 440 nt
Filed under: uncultured bacterium
Lineage: Bacteria
Description: partial 16S ribosomal RNA
Rfam family: Bacterial small subunit ribosomal RNA
Source: RNAcentral